Molecule: ribosomal RNA, 433 nt
Filed under: uncultured bacterium
Lineage: Bacteria
Description: partial 16S ribosomal RNA
Rfam family: Bacterial small subunit ribosomal RNA
Source: RNAcentral
AACGAACGCUGGCGGCAGGCUUAACACAUGCAAGUCGAGCGCAUCCUUCGGGGUGAGCGGCGGACGGGUGAGUAACGCGUGGGAACGUGCCCUCUUCUACGGAAUAGCCUCGGGAAACUGAGAGUAAUGCCGUAUACGCCCGCAAGGGGCAAGAUUUAUCGGAGGAGGAUCGGCCCGCGUUGGAUUAGGUAGUUGGUGGGGUAACGGCCUACCAAGCCGACGAUCCAUAGCUGGUUUGAGAGGAUGAUCAGCCACACUGGGACUGAGACACGGCCCAGACUCCUACGGGAGGCAGCAGUGGGGAAUCUUGGACAAUGGGGGCAACCCUGAUCCAGCCAUGCCGCGUGAGCGAUGAAGGCCUUAGGGUUGUAAAGAUCUUUCAGCUGGGAAGAUAAUGACGGUACCAGCAGAAGAAGCCCCGGCUAACUCCGUG